Molecule: long non-coding RNA, 1251 nt
Filed under: Cairina moschata (Muscovy duck)
Lineage: Eukaryota; Metazoa; Chordata; Aves; Anseriformes; Anatidae
Description: domestica (muscovy Duck (domestic type)) lncRNA (ENSCMMG00000009836.1)
Source: RNAcentral
AUGAUGGUAGCUGGACCUAAUCUUUAUAAAUCAGCAUAUCCCAUUGUCAGUGUCACUAGGGUAUCCUGUGCAUGCAAACUUCCCAUGUACAUUAAUUACUUUAAUUCACGUAUUGUUCUUUCAACUUUUUUUUUUUUUUUUUUUUUUUUGGCUGCUUGCAAUGACAAUAUCUGCGGUUUGGACACCAGCAUCAAUACCUCCAGCAACAGGAAUAGAUACAACAGUUCCAACAACAAUCCAGCCCACUGGAAGUAAGUAGCAUGUAUAAGAUUUAUUUUUCUCUCUCUCUCUUUUUUUUUUUUUUUUUUUAAUGAUAGCAAUCACUUUAGAUUUUUCUAGUCCUCUUUGUUAUUGGGCAGUAAUUUGUCCGAUGAAGAGGCUUGUGUGCUCACUGUUUGUUGGAGCUGGGGAGGUGUGAGUGCGCGUAGCUAUUUGGAGGGCCUUUAUCAUAGAACCAUUAGGGUUGGAAAAGCCCUCCAAGAUCAUCUGGUCCAACCACCCCCAUCACCCACUGAGCCGUGUCCCCAAGCACCACGUCCAACCUCUCCUGGAGCACCCCUAGGGACGGUGCCACCACCACCUCCCUGGGCAACCCGUCCCAACACCUGGCUGCUCGUCCUGAGGAGAAAUGGCUCCUCAUUGCCAACUUGAAUCUCCCCUCAUGCAACCUGAGGCCAUUCCCUCUGCUCCUAUCGCUAGUUACCUGUGAGAAGAGGCCGACCCCAGCUCCCCACACCUUCCUUUCAGGGAGCUGCAGAGAGCAAUGAGGUCUGCCCUGAGCCUCCUCUUCUCCAGACUAAACAACCCCAGUGCCCUCAGCCGAACCUCAUAGGACUUGUGUAGGGCCACAGAGCAGGCGUUGAGCCAGAGCUUCCCCUGCAAGAUGCGUUUUGACUGGGGAUUGUCUGGGGUCUCUCAGGAAAGAGCACAGUGUGCUGACAACUCCCAAAGGAUUCAUCCUAACUUUGUUGUUCUCUCUUUUUUUCCCCACUGCUGCUGCUGCUUCUCCCCAUGUGCAGUCAUAGCUGAUGGUGAGUCUGCCUGACAGGGCGCUGUGGCCCCAUGCACUGCAAAGCACAGGCCCAAUGCUGCCCCAGCCUCGUCACCCACCAGCAGGGAGGCCGGGACAGGGCAGCCAGCCCUAUGUGGUGCUGCGGGUGACUCCCGCACACGCCUAACGCAGCAUCUUGUUGCCUUUCCAAGAGCUGGAGGUGCGUCUGACCGACGGGCCCGACCGCUGUGCAGGCAACG